CCCCCUCCCCUCCUGCCUUCCCAACCUGUUGGCAGCUGCCCGUAUCUAGCAGUGAAAAUCACCCCUGCUAUCCCCGUGGUUGGUGGCAUCCUGUUCUUCUUUGUGAUGGGGACCCUGCUCCGCACCAGCUUCAGCGACCCCGGAGUCCUCCCACGAGCCACACCUGAUGAAGCUGCUGACCUGGAAAGGCAAAUAGACGUCGCUAACGGCACCAGUUCGGGGGGGUACCGCCCGCCUCCCAGAACCAAAGAGGUCAUCAUCAAUGGCAGACUGUGAAACUGAAAUACUGUUUCACCUGCAAGAUUUUCCGGCCCCCUCGUGCCUCCCACUGCAGCCUUUGCGAUAACUGCGUAGAACGGUUUGAUCACCACUGUCCCUGGGUAGGCAACUGUGUGGGGAAAAGAAACUACAGAUUUUUUUAUAUGUUUAUUUUAUCUCUGUCUUUUCUGACGGUCUUUAUAUUUGCACUGGUUAUCACCCACGUCAUUCUUCGUAAGUAUGCUGGCGAAACGAUACGUACGCUACCGUUGCCGACCUUGGCCUUCUGAUUUAAUUUUGAUUUAGUAUUUUGGUCGUUUCAGGCUUUCUCUUCCGCUCCUUCCUCCAGCCUGCCCUGCAGCUCCUCACCUCCUGCUCCCCUCUCCAUCCCUCCCCUGCCCCUUUCGCUCUCCACCCCACCCCAUCCUCCCACUGGCACUUGCCAGGGUC
Long non-coding RNA from Galeopterus variegatus (Sunda flying lemur), 708 nucleotides. RefSeq lists it as uncharacterized. The transcript is spliced from 3 exons. NCBI's taxonomy places the organism in Eukaryota, Metazoa, Chordata, Mammalia, Dermoptera, Cynocephalidae. The record is from RefSeq and is a predicted model, not a curated record.